RNAcentral lists this long non-coding RNA (367 nucleotides) under Phoenix dactylifera (date palm). RNAcentral describes it as "long non-coding RNA (PDAC_LNC017757)". The record is from RNAcentral. Lineage: Eukaryota; Viridiplantae; Streptophyta; Magnoliopsida; Arecales; Arecaceae.
AAGUUUAUAUUCUUCUUUUGACAAUAAAUCAAAAAAAAUGUUAUGUAACUAUUUAAUCUUUUCUAGCAGCAUAAUGAGUUGUCUAACAAAGAGCAGUGGGUAUGGUUAGACAAUAAAUAGAAAUAAAUAUUGGAACUAGAUUAAUACCUAUCGUCAAUACAUCAGAAGCCUAUGCAUCUUGCUGUGUAAGUGCAAAUACUCUUCCUUGAGUCUUUGGCCCCUGGCUUUCUUCCAUUGCCUGAGUAGAUCUAUUCUCGUUUCUUUGUGGGCAGUCUGCAAUUUUAUGACCUAUCUUACCACAUCUAAAACAGGCACCGGUGUUCCAAUGGCAAUCCUUGUCAGCAUGAGCCUUACCACAUCUGGAACA